Molecule: ribosomal RNA, 243 nt
Filed under: uncultured bacterium
Lineage: Bacteria
Description: partial 16S ribosomal RNA
Rfam family: Bacterial small subunit ribosomal RNA
Source: RNAcentral
GAUCAUGGCUCAGAAUCAACGCUGGCGGCGUGCCUAACACAUGCAAGUCGAACGCGAAAGCCCCGCAAGGGGUGAGUAGAGUGGCAAACGGGUGAGUAACACGUGGGUGAUCUGCCUUGAAGUGGGGGAGUAACGACCCGAAAGGGUCGCUAAUACCGCAUAACAUCCUGCUUUUGGAUAAGUGGAGAUCAAAGCCGGGGAUCGCAAGACCUGGCGCUUGGAGAGGAGCCCGCGGCCGAUUAG